RNAcentral lists this ribosomal RNA (79 nucleotides) under Escherichia coli. Its description in RNAcentral is "partial 16S ribosomal RNA". It matches the Rfam family "Bacterial small subunit ribosomal RNA", at positions 1 to 79 of the family's 1533-position model. RNAcentral also lists the same sequence under 4 other names. Lineage: Bacteria; Pseudomonadati; Pseudomonadota; Gammaproteobacteria; Enterobacterales; Enterobacteriaceae. The record is from RNAcentral.
AAAUUGAAGAGUUUGAUCAUGGCUCAGAUUGAACGCUGGCGGCAGGCCUAACACAUGCAAGUCGAACGGUAACAGGAAU